GGAAGAUGAUUGACGUGUGAAAAUUUGAUAUAAUAAUGAAAUAAUUGAAAAGGGAAGAAAGAAUGGAAAAGUUAGGAAGAUGUUGAUGGAGUGAGUAGACAUGAUGCGGGAUGUACAGAGUCAGUUACAUCCACAUGGUGAUAAUUGCCAUUCACUUGUGUAUGUGAUGCUAAUGGGUGGCUGAAAAACCCCACUCCCUAUCUUCCUUUCCCAAUUCACAUCCCC
RNAcentral lists this long non-coding RNA (225 nucleotides) under Vigna radiata. RNAcentral's name for it is "long non-coding RNA (VRAD_LNC004537)". Lineage: Eukaryota; Viridiplantae; Streptophyta; Magnoliopsida; Fabales; Fabaceae. The record is from RNAcentral.